UGCGUAGGUGGCAAGCGUUAUCCGGAUUUACUGGGUGUAAAGGGCGUGUAGGCGGGAUUACAAGUCAGAUGUGAAAACUAUGGGCUCAACCCAUAGCCUGCAUUUGAAACUGUAGUUCUUGAGUGAUGGAGAGGCAGACGGAAUUCCUCGUGUAGCGGUGAAAUGCGUAGAUAUGAGGAGGAACACCAGUGGCGAAGGCGGUCUGCUGGACAUUAACUGACGCUGAGGCGCGAAAGCGUGGGGAGCAAACAGGAUUAGAUACCCUGGUAGUCCACGCUGUAAACGAUGGAUACUAGGUGUGGGGGGACUGACCCCCUCCGUGCCGGAGUUAACACAAUAAGUACCCCGCCUGGGGAGUACGGUCGCAAGACUGAA
Molecule: ribosomal RNA, 375 nt
Filed under: uncultured bacterium
Lineage: Bacteria
Description: bacterial SSU rRNA
Rfam family: Bacterial small subunit ribosomal RNA
Source: RNAcentral